This 507-nucleotide ribosomal RNA is filed under the name uncultured Glomus. Its description in RNAcentral is "SSU rRNA". It matches the Rfam family "Eukaryotic small subunit ribosomal RNA", at positions 570 to 1079 of the family's 1831-position model. Lineage: Eukaryota; Fungi; Glomeromycota; Glomeromycetes; Glomerales; Glomeraceae. The record is from RNAcentral.
GCAGCCGCGGUAAUUCCAGCUCCAAUAGCGUAUAUUAAAGUUGUUGCAGUUAAAAAGCUCGUAGUUGAAUUUCGGAAUCAAUUUGUUGGUCGUGCCUCGGUACGUACUGGUAUUAUUGGUUUCUACCUUCUGAAGAACCUUGAUGUCAUUAAUUUGGUGUCUUGGGGAAUCAGGACUGUUACUUUGAAAAAAUUAGAGUGUUUAAAGCAGGCUAACGCUUGAAUACAUUAGCAUGGAAUAAUGAAAUAGGACGUUCGAUCCUAUUUUGUUGGUUUCUAGGAUUGACGUAAUGAUUAAUAGGGAUAGUUGGGGGCAUUAGUAUUCAAUUGUCAGAGGUGAAAUUCUUGGAUUUAUUGAAGACUAACUACUGCGAGAGCAUUUGCCGAGGAUGUUUUCAUUAAUCAAAAACGAAAGUUAGGGGAUCGAAGACGAUCAGAUACCGUCGUAGUCUUAACCAUAAACUAUGCCGACUAGGGAUCGGAUGAUGUUAAUUUUUUAAUGACUCAU